This 347-nucleotide ribosomal RNA is filed under the name uncultured Acidobacteriaceae bacterium. RNAcentral describes it as "bacterial SSU rRNA". It matches the Rfam family "Bacterial small subunit ribosomal RNA", at positions 1039 to 1382 of the family's 1533-position model. The record is from RNAcentral. Lineage: Bacteria; Pseudomonadati; Acidobacteriota; Terriglobia; Terriglobales; Acidobacteriaceae.
UGCUGCAUGGUUGUCGUCAGCUCGUGCCGUGAGGUGUCGGGUUAAGUCCCAUAACGAGCGCAACCCACGUCGUUAGUUGCCAACAGGUCAAGCUGGGAAACUCUAACGAGACUGCCGGUGUAAACCGCGAGGAAGGUGGGGAUGACGUCAAGUCCUCAUGGCCUUUAUGCCCAGGGCUACACACGUGCUACAAUGGGUGGUACAAAGAGCAGCCAGCUCGCGAGAGUGAGCAAAUCUCAAAAAAGCCAUCCUCAGUUCGGAUUGAAGUCUGCAACUCGACUUCAUGAAGUUGGAAUCGCUAGUAAUCGCGGAUCAGCAUGCCGCGGUCGAAUACGUUCCCGGGCCUU